CUGAAAAUCAGAUGGCUUGAAGUUGUGCAUGCGUUUUUCUUCUUUCUAAACCGAGUCUAGAGUGAAACCCCAGUUUUUCCGUGUAUAAACUGCUUCCAAUUUUGUGGUACCUUUUGUGGGCAACAACAGUGAAUUCGAAAAAAAAAAUUACUGGAUACAUCGAACAGCAUUUGUGAUUUGAUUAGUGUUAAUUGCACAUGACCCGACAGUGAACAACGCAUGAAGAGUGAAACUAAAGCAACGUUCUAGAAGCAUACAAUUCUAUUGAAAAAUUCUGAAGUUUUUUUUCAAUCACGAAGUGGUUUAUUGGCAAGCAGUUAAUAAUUUAUAACCCACAAGGCAUUGAACGUGAAAUCGAAAAACGGUCGUCAAUAUUAGGCACAGGAACACAGAGGAAACAUAAAUAAGAAACGGGUUGAGAGGCAAUAAUUAGUUGGAUCUAUUUCGCAAAAGUUUCCCAUCGAAAAGAAAGCCUCAAUAUGAAUAGCAUAGUAAACUUGUUCAGCAAUUUUAAGGAGUUUUACAGUGAGAUCAAUGGUGCUACACUAACCGGUGCAAUCGAUGUGGUUGUAGUGGAACAACCAAACGGCUCCUUCAUGAGUUCGCCGUUUCACGUGCGCUUUGGUAAACUCGGAGUACUGCGAAGCCGAGAAAAGGUAGUCGACAUCGAAGUCAAUGGUGAGCCGGUAGACCUGCAGAUGAAGCUCGGCGAGUCGGGUGAAGCGUUCUUUGUGGAAGAAUGCGCGGAAGACGAUAGCGAAGUACCAGCGCAUAUGGCCACCUCACCUAUUCCUAGCCAUUCGUAUUUGAGCAACUAUGAAGAAAGUGUGCAGAGGAAUGAAAGAUCCGGUGAGCCCAUAUUUACAGCAAUAGGAGGAAGUGAAGCAAUGGGUGCGCCUAUCUCAGGAGUGACUGCGGGGCAUACCAUUGACAUCGGUGAGGGAGCUGUCAUGAGAAUGGUAUCGAGCCAGACUGGAACACGAGAAAAUGACGAUGUUGUAGAGAGCGAAUUGUUGCCUCGGUUACGUCGAAAUUCGGUCGAUCUUUCGAACGAGGACCCCGAGUUGGAACGUGCCAAAUUCGAAAACCAAAGAUCUGAAUACAGCCAUCGUCGUCACACGGACAAUCUUACCAACAGGCCGGACCUUUCGCUGACAAAGAAGGAAUAUACUACGCAAAAGUUGCGUCAAGAACUGAAUGCAGCUGCUGAGGCUGCUGAACAGGAGCAUAUAUUCCACAUGGAAGGCUUGGAUGAUGGUCCACCUGAAGCAGCAACCAACGGACAGGUGGCUAAUAUCGUCGAUUGGAAAAACAGUACUCCCUUGCCGUCAGCGCUCGGCGAAGUAAAUCAGCUGGUAGAGGAUAAACAUUUUAAACCAAUCGAUGCACAACCAACCACUGAGUCCGCACCGACAAGUCAGGCGACCGGGGUUGUUACUAUGAUGGUAGCAACGAUGCAAUCAGCAAUAUCUGGAGAUGGAGCAUUAGACUCGAAAUCAAAAAAGAAGCGCAGGAAGAAGUCAUUGAUGAAAAAGAAAAAUACCCAACGGAAAAAUUCAGCCAGCAGUAGCUCUGGCGCCGGUUCGAAUCAUUCCGAUCCGAACGAGGGAACGGAAACGGACAGUCUUUCGGCCUCGCAAGUAACGGUUUCGUCGACCAGUGGAAGUUCUCUACCCAAAGAAGAUGCUACUGAUGGAGUCGAUCAGGAGGUCCCGGAUAUUAGUUGCGUGGUCAAAAAGGAGGAAAAUGAAGGUUUAACACUUGAUGGCCCAGUCAUGAGUUCUAAUCAUCAUGCAGAUCUAGAUAUCCAUUUCUUCAGUGAUACCGAUAUUGGAACUGGCGUAAGUCCCCAACAGUCGCGUCCUUCCACCCCUAUUCAAAGCGAUACUGAGUUUGAGAUGUCACAACGCGAAAAACCCGUUACAGAGGAUGUACGACUGAUGUAUGGUAACUCGUGGAACUGGGGAGAGUUGCCGACACAAGUAGAAUCUAAGGUGGGUGAUGCCGAAGCGGGCAAACAGGCGCAGCAUAACUCUAUGCUGACUGGUCUGAUGAGUUUGAUGAAAUACAAUAACAAAAAGAAACGCCAAAGUGUACCGGAUGGGAUGUAUUUGUCGGAAUUGGAUAAGCUUAACGAACCAGAGAUCGCCCAGUUGUAUUUCCCUUCAUUUUCGAAAUUGAAGCAGCAACAACAACAAGUCCUGCGAGGUAGUGGUGUCAGCGGUGGUAGUGGUGAUGAUGAAGAUCGCGAGAGUGGCAAUGGAACGUCCAUUCCGCAAAGUCCUACCUCGAUGGAAGAUGUUCCUGGUGGAAAAGAUUCCGACUAUGAUGAACGCGAUCGUAUCGUAACGGGUGGAACAAAGGAGUUGGUUGAUCAAUCUAUUGAUUCUUUCGCUCUCUCUCUCUGUGGUGGGCUAACAAACCUAGAAGGCUCAUCCAAACUUACCGACGAACAGUUUGAGCGUCACCGUUUGCAAUAUGCUAAUGUACUGGCCGACCCUAGUGUGUUCAAGUCACCCGAUCUAGUCGUGCGUAUCAAUGGCAAGUACUACAGUUGGGAAGUUGCUUGUCCACAGGUCAUGACUAUUUUAGCGUUUCAAUGUGCGCUGCCGAAUGAAUUGUUGACUAGCGCGAAGCAGAACUCGGGUGAUGGAUCGAAAAUGGAAGAAUGCAAGAAGGAGGAAGCUCUACAACAAACGCAACAGCAGCAGCCGCAGCCGCCAAAUGCUGGAGGGCGUUGGUGGUAUUGGCGUCGAUCAAAUGAAUCGAAGAGCACUUCUGCUGGCACCCUGCCGACUACACCAAUGGCAACUCCGGAAGAAUCUGGUGAUAUUUCUGAUGCUAAAACCUCGGCAGCUGUAGGCACGCAAACCUCGAGGUCUAACUCUCCAGAUGAUGAAAGUCACGAAGCAGGUUUGAACUCUACUGUACCGCCGUACAAAAAUGUAUCGAAAACAGAAGACGGAUAUAAUGGUUCCCUAUCGUCGGAAGAUUCUGAAUUGGUCAUGGACAAAACGGUUUCCACCGGUGGUAUCCUUAUUGACAACAACAGCGAAAAGGCUCUAUAUCUGCUGGGUUGCGGAGAAAAGUACCGAAAAACGCUGCGUUUGUCUUCGGAGCGCAUUAAGGAGUUGAACCUUUUGGACGGUAUGAACGAGAUUGAAUUCAGUGUAACUACUGCCUAUCAAGGAACGACGCGCUGCAAGUGCUAUUUGUUCAAGUGGAAGCACAAUGACAAGGUGGUCAUAUCCGAUAUUGAUGGAACUAUUACGAAGUCGGAUGUUCUUGGUCACAUUCUGCCCAUGGUAGGCAAAUCAUGGGACCAGAUCGGUGUGGCGCAACUAUUCUCAAAGAUUGAAGAAAAUGGCUACAAAAUGUUGUACCUGUCCGCACGUGCAAUCGGACAGGCGAAGACAACCCGCGGUUAUCUACAGUCGAUUCGUCAAGGGAACGUUAAACUACCGGACGGACCUUUGCUGCUCAAUCCGACGUCCUUAAUGUCAGCUUUUCAUCGUGAAGUGAUUGAGAAAAAACCUGAGCAAUUCAAAAUUGCUUGUUUAAACGACAUUCGAGAUCUAUUUCCCGAGCGAAAUCCAUUCUACGCCGGAUACGGAAACAGAAUCAAUGAUGUAUGGGCGUAUCGGGCAGUUGGUAUUCCGACCUCGAGAAUAUUCACCAUUAAUCCUAAGGGAGAGCUGAAGCACGAGCUAACGCAAACAUUCCAAUCGACAUAUGCCGGACAGUCGAUUGUGGUAAAUGAUUUCUUCCCACCAAUUCAACGCGAGUCUCCGGAGUCUGAGGAUGAUGACGACUACGACGAAGAUGACGAGUAUGAAUCAUUGCAGUUUACAAUUGAAACGAGUGGUGAUGAGCAGCAAUCGCACAUUCAGCUAGAACAACGUGUGCUAAGAAAAAAACGAGUGCGAAAAUCUGGCUUCUCUGAUUACUGUGUCACUAGCGAGAACAGUCUUUUUGAGCAUACCGCGUAGCUAACUUUUCAGCAACUUCUAAACCAUCUGGAAAAGAAAGCCUCUUUAUAACUCUCUAUUGUCUUAACAUAACUCUAGUCAUGUGCCUUCAACAUAAGUUACCAUUGUAAAUGAUCCAGUGUACCGUCCUGUGCCUAGAUGGAUCAAACUAAAAAAUAUCAAAACUCUCUAGCCAACUAGUCAAUAGGUGCUUUUUAUCAAUAGCAGAUCCGCAGGAAAGAUGUUUUAACAGGAAAGAUUGGUGUAAAAUAAGUUGCAUCGAACUAAGCGUUUGCACUAAAUUACCGACAGUCAACGAAUUCGAACCGUUAGGUUCGGAUAUAAUGUUAAUGCCUUGCAGCGGUCUUGAUUAGCACUAUCUGGCUAAGCGUUGAAAAUUAUUGUAUUGCAUGGAUGACUUAGUAGGGCUUUGCAAAAAACAUGAAAUUCCAAAAGUCCAAGAAACAAUCAGAAAACUACCAGAAACAGACAGUAAAAUUGCAACUUUUUCCGAGCGUCUUUAAUCUCAAGCCGGUGGAUUCGAUAAGUUAUCCGGGCAGCCAACCUGGGUUACGCCAACAUGGCUUACAUUGUAGAUCAAUUGUAUCCGCCGAUCAAACACAUCGAAGAGGAAGAUAACGAGUAUACCAGCUUUAACUACUGGCGUGAACCGGUGCCCGAAAUUGAUUUCAAUGCUUGUGACUUAUCUGGAUCCUCGUUGCCAUCAUCGGGUGCUGCGUCGUACCCCUUCACGUUAGCUUCUGGCAAGGUCACUCCCACGGCAAUGCUUAUUCAGCAAGCCUUGCCCACCAUUCCAGAAAACUGAGCCAAAAGAGGGACAGUGUAUUCUCCGCUUUCAUUUAUCAGAUGCCAGCGCUAUCAGAACACGAACAAAUCUUUACGAAUCCAAUCUUCGGCUCUAACUAUACUGAUAAAGAUAAAAAAACAAGGAAAUGAGGCCUCAUUUCUUUACAGAAGACGUGGAUAUGUUGUUGAGACUAUAAGCUAAGCAAAGAAAUAUUCGGUAUAAUAAUAAUAAUUCAUGAUAUAUCGAAAGCUUGAAUAGGUGCUUUGGAAUAGCGAGAAUACGAUCAGAGCGAUCGCGUUGCUUCCACUUUGCUUUAGGUUGGAGAGUUUUUCGAUAAUAAACAGUAACGGUCCAAUGGAAUUGUAUAAGCUAUAAUUAAAACAACAGCGCACAUACGCGUUUGACAAAGUAAGCAAGUGACACCUACUGGUGAAUGUAUAUUGCGUAAGAAGACGGAAAAGAUAAUUAGCAUGCAAAGCAUCAGAAAAGCUAAAAAAGUAACAGAGAAAAUAUGGUGCUCUUAGAACCGAGCAAGCUACCGACAGUUAGCUGUGAUUGCAGUUGGUAAUAAAAAUGAGGUGGACAGAAAAGUUCUAACGGGUUUGCUGAGAAAUACGAAAGCAGGAAUUUAGUUUAGCAGAUCGUACUUUGGACGAUGCAUCAUUGUACUGUAAUCCUCUACAGGACAGUAAUUAGCGAUAGAAUAGAAAGAACGCUAUCGAUAGAGCAUAGUACACAUGAUAAAAAGCAUUAUUCUAACCGUUCAAUGCUAGCUUUGGUUUGUGGUAUAGCAAAGGAAACAAAAGUAUGUGAUAAUUUUUUAUAUUUAUUUUUUUCUUUCGUUUUAGCAUUUUUUUAGCAAGCUUGCAAUUUUUGUAUAGAACCACUAGUAUCUAUUUCAUUGUUUUAUGGAAAAAUAUAUUGCAAAAGCAGCAUUAGAAUUGGAUAAAGCGCUAAAAGACACACACAUUUAUAGAACUUCAAGGUAAAAUCAAUGCUGCAGGUUGACAAUUUCAUUUA
Anopheles stephensi (Asian malaria mosquito) is the source of this 5796-nucleotide RNA transcript. It is a transcript of the gene named phosphatidate phosphatase LPIN3, with no coding region annotated. The record is from RefSeq and is a predicted model, not a curated record. NCBI's taxonomy places the organism in Eukaryota, Metazoa, Arthropoda, Insecta, Diptera, Culicidae. The transcript is spliced from 6 exons.